Triticum aestivum (bread wheat) is the source of this 125-nucleotide non-coding RNA. NCBI's taxonomy places the organism in Eukaryota, Viridiplantae, Streptophyta, Magnoliopsida, Poales, Poaceae. The record is from Rfam.
GUAGUACUCCCUCCGUCCGAAAAUACUUGUCGGAGAAAUGAGUAUAUCUAAACAUAUUUUAGUUCGAGAUACAUCCAUUUUUACCCAUUUCUCCUACAAGUAUAUCCGGACGGAGGGAGUACUCG